Molecule: non-coding RNA, 258 nt
Organism: Peromyscus maniculatus bairdii (prairie deer mouse)
Lineage: Eukaryota; Metazoa; Chordata; Mammalia; Rodentia; Cricetidae
Source: RefSeq, a predicted model, not a curated record
GGUAGAGCACAGACAACCCCUCCCACAUGAUCUUCCACUUACACUUGCUUUAUCUGCUUUCUUGUUUGUUGCAUUACCAAUUACUACAACAAAGCUCAACAGUUACCAUCCCCCACCCCAGUCUUGUGUAAGCAGAUUGAAGAUUCUUUAGGAAUCAUGGGGAGUUUUAUCAGGACACAGUUGAAAACCAAUGAAAAUGCAAGCCCAAGCACUCUCAGGACUCAUCACAUCAGGUCAAGCAAGUAACAAUCUCAAAAA